This 609-nucleotide ribosomal RNA is filed under the name Triticum aestivum (bread wheat). Its description in RNAcentral is "partial small subunit ribosomal RNA". Lineage: Eukaryota; Viridiplantae; Streptophyta; Magnoliopsida; Poales; Poaceae. The record is from RNAcentral.
AUGGAAAGGCCUUGGAAAGGAACGCUGGUACCGUGUUAUUCAACGGACAAAAACCUCUUCGCUGCUUCUACCUCCAUCUCUGUUGGCAAUGGGCAGAUCACUGGCUUCUGGCACAAAAGAUGGCUCGAUGGGGAGUCGCCCAAAGAAAUUGCACCAGACGUGUUCCCUUUAGCUUGGAGGAAAAACCUGAAUGUUAGGGAAGCUCUGAAUGAGGGAAGGUGGAUGCGUGGAAUUCAAUGGAUGUCUACUGAGAACCCAAUUCACCAAUUCAUCAGGUUGUGGGAGAAGGUGCAAGCGAUCCAUUUGACUAGUGAAAGGGAUAAAAUCUCAUGGAAGCUCUCCAGCAAUGGUUGUUACUCGGCCAAGUCAGCUUAUGAUGCUCAGUUCAUCGGCCGGAUAGAGCAGCCCCACCUUGGCAUGGUUUGGAGGACUAAGGCUGAGCCGAAAGUCAACUUCUAUACCUGGCUGCUACUGCAGGACAGAAACUGGACGGCCGACAGACUUGGGCGCCUGGGAUGGCCGCACAGUCCAGUGUGCCCUCUAUGCAAUCAGGCUCCGGAGACGGCUGUGCAUCUGCUCCUCCAUUGCCCGUUUGCCAAGGGGCUCUAG